Cinara cedri is the source of this 1853-nucleotide non-coding RNA. The record is from the annotation of a GenBank genome assembly. Lineage: Eukaryota; Metazoa; Arthropoda; Insecta; Hemiptera; Aphididae.
UACCUUAUAUUACCUCACCAAUUUGUCACCUAUUUUUCUCUAAUUUCCCGAACUUUUACUGUUUAUACCUAUGUCAGAUAAUUAUUUUCGAAUUGCGCGGCGAGUGAGUUUAAACGUUUUUUAAAUUCAUUUGAAAGUUUUUUUUAGGAUUUGAUUGUUAGGUUAUAAUAACGAGAAGCGGUGAAGACGAGAUAGUUAGAAGAGCUAUGGAGUCAAAACUUCAAGAGAAAAGACCUAGCGGAAGACCUAGAGAAAAAUGAUUUAAAGUGGUAGAAAAUAUUUUGGAAAGCCUAACAGUUGAAAAGUAGAAAGUGACAGUUUAGGAUAAAGACAGCUGGCGAAAUGUACGGUAAUGAUAGCAAAAACUUUAGGAUUGUAUUCGUGGUAUAAGAAGGAAAAAAAUAAAAAGUUUAGAUAAAUUUCUUGUCUAUUUGUAACUUAUAACCUGCAAUAUUGGUCGAAAUGAUAUGGUAAAAGUUUAUGACAAUAUUAUUAUAUUGGUGAUACAUUUUCUGUUAAAUUUUCAUUUUGAGAUGUUCGAAAAAGUAUCUGUAGACAAUAGGCCGGUAAUGUAUACGGCAAAUCAUAAUAUAUUAUAACUGCUGAUACAUCCUGAAUAUCCAAUAAUUAUGUUGUAAAACAUGUUGUACAUAAUUUUGUAAGGGGACGGUGUUUCGACAUUGGGGUAUGGGAUGCACAGCGGGACUCGUAGAACACUGAAUGGGCAUUCUGAUUUUGUAAAUUACGUAGUCUGAUGUGUGUAAAUUCAAUGCAAUAUAAUGAUACAAUAUUUUGUUAUUGUCGAUGACAAACGUGUCAUAAAAAGGGUUGAAAGUACAAUAAAAUGCUAAAACGGACAUAAUAUUUUUAAGUCGGUCAAAACGUACGUCCUGCAAGGAUAAAAUUAAAUGAAAUUCCGUUUUUCUUUUUUUUUUCUGAGGGUGUCACGUUUUAUUUGUAUAUAUUGUAUUUUUACUAUUUGUAGAUAUACACACGUCACUCAGUAUAUUAUAAUAACGACACGGAGAGUGCAAGUGCAGUUUUCGGGUGGCCCGUGAUAAUCAGGUUAUCCCAUGGAAGCGUGUUCUGGGCAAAACUACCGCCGUGUUUUACUUGUAUAAGGCUGCACACCCGUAAAUGAUACCGAGAGUCACGUAUAUACCGCCGUACACCAAAAACUAUAACAACACCCAAGAAGUAAGAACGAAUAUAAUGCCAGGUUUAAUCAUAAUUCAAUCUUUCGAACUAGUUAUCAUUUGGUUUCAGAAAGUAAAUUAUAAUUAAUGUGCAGCACAUAAGUGGAAAGGGCAGAAGUGUACAUUAAUUCCUAUCGCGGGAUCAUCGCAUAAAAACGUGUACCUGGAUAUAUUGAAGGCGAAGGAGCUUUAUCUUAUUGCUUGCCGUUUCUUUCGAAUUAUCGAAUAAAGUAUCUGGGAUAUCAUGGUUUUGCGUAUUUAUCUAUCCUUUUUUACUGUAGUCUUUUACCUUUCGAUUUCCAUUUAAGAGCGUCUAUUAUAUUGCAAUUCGAUUUUUGUGCGUGCCAUGGGCAGUCAAUUAGUUUCCUUUUAAGUGAUUAUAUACUAUUCGCCGAAAAGAUGUUUUAUUUCGGCAUUAGUCACAAUAUUCUAUAUUAUUAUGUAGUCAUUUGGUAUAGGUUACCUUUGCGGGUAUAGAUAAUCGGAUUGCCGUUAGAAAGGUGGACGAUAACGUGCAGAGCACGACGGGCAUUUAAAAUUCAGUAGGUGUUAAGUAUCGGAAAAAAGUGUAUAAAUAUAUAGCCAGAUGUAUAAAGAUUAACAAACCCAGUACUGUGCAAUUGUCGUUUUUAUAGCGUCUUUUGUAAUUAUGUGACG